RNAcentral lists this ribosomal RNA (57 nucleotides) under uncultured Inocybe. Its description in RNAcentral is "partial 28S ribosomal RNA". Lineage: Eukaryota; Fungi; Basidiomycota; Agaricomycetes; Agaricales; Cortinariaceae. The record is from RNAcentral.
AAGAACUAUUUCGAUGAAUUUGACCUCAAAUCAGGUAGGACUACCCGCUGAACUUAA